AUGGAAAGAGAGAGCUCGUCUUGCUCACAAGCCCCAAAUGUCAAAGGGGAGAAGAUAUUUGCGCUUAAGGGAGGAAAAAGUGAAAAAAAAAAAUCCCAACCAAAACCCCAAAAAUCCGAGCCCAACAAUAAAAGCCCCAGAUAUAGCUGGGGAGGAGAGAGAAGUGAGGGAAGAGGGAGUAAGAAGGGGGGGGGGGGGGCUUCAGCUGUACCGGGGCUGACACGGUGCGUCUGUACUUCCAGAGAAGCGGGAAGCGACUCCGGCAUCCCGCUUUCUUCCUCGGCGGUUUUCUUGGGAAUUGUGCGGGAGCACCGCUGUUUCUCCCGGGCUGCACUCCCCGGGCUCUGCGAGGCAGCCCCAGGACUCCGUGACCUCCCCUUGCCCCUCGCUCAAACGCCUCCAGAGGGCUUGGGCAGCCCCGCAGCGGCACAAGGGCGGGCGGCGGAGCCCCCUCCGCUCCCCCAAAUCUUUCUCCGUACGGUCAAGCCCACAGAACGGGCUGGAAAGGCGAGAUUUUGGGAAACCUGUGGAGAAAAUGGACGUGAUCUGCGUGUCGAAGCGAAGCUGAAGGAUCAACACUGCUGUCGACGUCCAGCGUGUAUGACCAGGUUGUUAAAGACUGGGCGAUUUUUGUUCAUACAAACUGGAUUUCUGCGAGGUUCAAUUUAACCCCGUGCGGCUCGUCACGUUUCUUUUACCGAAAAAAAGUACCUUUCUGGAGAGCCUGCCGUCAGCUGGGUACUGCUCUCUAUUUCGAGACCGAAAAGGUACGAUGGAAUGUAUGCAAAGUGACUGUAGCCUUUCAGGAUGUUACUGAGGUUAAAUCUAAGUCCCGGGACGGUAAGAGCAAAAACCUGGUAGCCGUCCAAGAACAAAAUCGUUAUUUUCAAUUGAGUCGAGGUUUGGUGGGGUGUUUUUUUUUUUUGUUUGUUUGUUUUGGGGUUUUUUUUGUUUGUUUGGUUUCCUCCUUUCUUCCUUUUCUUUCUUAGCGUAGCUGGAAAGUGUCUUUGUUCUUUGUAAAUUAGUGUGGUCUUUAACACGUUCUCGUCACGAUUGAUUGGUGGGACGGUAUACACAGCAAAAAAUGACAGCGCUUAGCAAUAUAAAUGCAGUAGCCUGGGUUUGGAUGACCGGUGUGCCAGCGAGCGCUUGCCUUUUUUUUUCCCCCUCACUUUUUUAUUUUUAUUAUUAUUUUAUUUAUUUAUUUAUUUAUUUUUAAACAUUCGUGAUUUCAAAACUGUGGCCAGGAACCGGGGAUGUAAUUUCAUAAAUGUGUCCCCCAUGGCAGCUUAGCCACCUCUGGCUGGAGAGGGGCUGCCGGGCACCGGGACCAUGGGCAUGGGGACAUCCCUUCUGCCUUCCUCAAACGUUAAGUUUCUCGCUCCUUUUCGUUCCCCGGUCCAAAGAUUUCUCUGAUGAUAACAAAAUAUCUGUGUAACGACUCGCUUUCGUGCCAGGCUCAUCAUCCUGCUCAUCCCCUCUAUGUCAGCUUUAUCAGCGUCCCAUUUUCAAACACCCUUUUCCUCAGGGGUGUCCCCAAGCUCAUAUUUUUGUGUGUCCCCCGUCCGUCCCUAUCCCGCCCCAGUGACACUGAGGCGGGGUUUCGUCUCUUGUCAAACUUUGCACAGACUUGGGUGUAAAUUCAGGUAUUUGAGCUCUAUAGACGACUGUGUUAUCUUCCUAUUCGGCAUAAUUAAAUGAUGUGAUUUAAAAUCUCGUCGUAAAAAUACCAAAUGCAAAUACUCGGCACCUUGGCUGUCUGGUGGUACUUUUAUUUCUCCUGGCACAUCAGGAGUUAUUUAACAUGUAGGAAAAAAGCGAAGGAUCACGUCUUUUUAGCAGAAGGUCAAACGGUGCAAUUAAGCAAAGAAGUUCAGAGAGUCGGGAAACGUUGAAAUGCUGCUAUUAAAAAAAAAUAAAAAAAAAAAAUAAAAAUCA
Long non-coding RNA from Parus major (Great Tit), 1938 nucleotides. Lineage: Eukaryota; Metazoa; Chordata; Aves; Passeriformes; Paridae. The record is from Ensembl.